RNAcentral lists this ribosomal RNA (547 nucleotides) under Podarcis milensis (Milos wall lizard). RNAcentral's name for it is "partial 12S ribosomal RNA". It matches the Rfam family "Bacterial small subunit ribosomal RNA", at positions 9 to 929 of the family's 1533-position model. Lineage: Eukaryota; Metazoa; Chordata; Lepidosauria; Squamata; Lacertidae. The record is from RNAcentral.
AUAGCUUUGGUCCUGGGCUUACCGUUAUUUUUUAUCAAGAUUAUACAUGCAAGCCUCAACAACCCAGUGAAAAUGCCCACAACCCCUCAAAAGACAAAAUGGAGCAGGCAUCAGGCACUAUAACUUAAGCCCACAACGCCUAGCCACGCCACACCCCCACGGGCUUACAGCAGUAAUAAACAUUGGGCCAUAAGUGAAAACUUGACCCAACUAUGAUAACUUAGGGCUGGUCAAUUUCGUGCCAGCCACCGCGGUUAUACGAAAGGCCCAAAAUAACGACAAAUCGGCGUAAAAUGUGACUAGAGAUCUAUAAUAUUCUUAACAUCAAAAUUUUUAGCCUAGUUGUAAAAUACUAAGACAAUAAAGAAAACCAACACAGAUAUUAUUAAUAUUAUAUUCUUGACCACACGAAAGCUUAGAAACAAACUAGGAUUAGAUACCCUACUAUGCUAAGCCCUGAACAUUGAAAGUUAUAAUACAAGACUUCCGCCAGAGAACUACAAGUGAAAAAUUGAAACUCAAAGGACUUGACGGUGUCCCAUAUCGG